AAAUUACUAAGUUGUUCAAAGAAAGAAUAGAUCCCAAUGGUUAUGCAUGGGGACAACUUAGUGUUGAGACAGUUGAAUUUUAUUGGGAAGAAUUCAAGAAAUUUUUUGAGUGGGAUGCUAGUAAAACUGUUGUAGUGUAUAAUGCUUGGGAGAUAAAGGCUAAAAGAAGAUAUGCUGAUUACAUAAGCAGAAUAAGGAAAAAGCCAAGACCUCCCUAUGUCCCACCCGAAAUAUGGACAAAAUGGAAUGAUGUUUGGAAUUCUGAGGAGGGCAA
Long non-coding RNA from Ipomoea nil (Japanese morning glory), 274 nucleotides. RefSeq lists it as uncharacterized. NCBI's taxonomy places the organism in Eukaryota, Viridiplantae, Streptophyta, Magnoliopsida, Solanales, Convolvulaceae. The record is from RefSeq and is a predicted model, not a curated record. The transcript has 2 exons.